Molecule: ribosomal RNA, 427 nt
Filed under: uncultured prokaryote
Description: bacterial SSU rRNA
Rfam family: Bacterial small subunit ribosomal RNA
Source: RNAcentral
UGAGGAAUUUUGCGCAAUGGGAGCAAUCCUGACGCAGCAACGCCGCGUGGGUGAUGAAGGCCUUCGGGUCGUAAAGCCCUGUCAGGUGGGAAGAAUGUCCCGGAACUGAACAGGUUCCGGGAGUGACGGUACCACCAGAGGAAGCACCGGCUAACUCCGUGCCGGCAGCCGCGGUAAUACGGAGGGUGCAAGCGUUAUUCGGAAUUACUGGGCGUAAAGCGCGUGUAGGCGGUCCUGCAAGUCUGAUGUGAAAGCCCCGGGCUUAACCCGGGAAGUGCAUUGGAAACUGUGGGACUUGAGUACUGGAGAGGAUGGGGAAUUCCCGGUGUAGAGGUGAAAUUCGUAGAGAUCGGGAGGAAUAUCAGUGGCGAAGGCGCCCAUCUGGACGGUAACUGACGCUGAGACGCGAAAGCGUGGGGAGCAAACA